GGGGAUAUAGCUCAGUGGUAGAGCAUUCGACUGCAGAUCGAGAGGUCCCCCCCGGUUCGAACCCGGGUGUCCCGU
Molecule: non-coding RNA, 75 nt
Organism: Octopus sinensis (East Asian common octopus)
Lineage: Eukaryota; Metazoa; Mollusca; Cephalopoda; Octopoda; Octopodidae
Source: the annotation of a RefSeq genome assembly